Molecule: transfer RNA, 57 nt
Filed under: Bedotia sp. ZSM 34169
Lineage: Eukaryota; Metazoa; Chordata; Actinopteri; Atheriniformes; Bedotiidae
Description: tRNA-Val
Source: RNAcentral
CCAGAGCUUAGCUAAACAUACCUAUAGCAUCUCCCUUACACCGAGAAGUCGCCCGUG